GUGGGGAAUCUUCCGCAAUGGACGAAAGUCUGACGGAGCAACGCCGCGUGAACGAUGACGGCCUUCGGGUUGUAAAGUUCUGUUAUACGGGACGAAUGGUACGACGGCCAAUACCCGUCGUAAGUGACGGUACCGUAAGAGAAAGCCACGGCUAACUACGUGCCAGCAGCCGCGGUAAUACGUAGGUGGCAAGCGUUGUCCGGAAUUAUUGGGCGUAAAGGUCGCGCAGGCGGCGUCGUAAGUCGGUCUUAAAAGUGCGGGGCUUAACCCCGUGAGGGGACCGAAACUGCGAUGCUAGAGUAUCGGAGAGGAAAGCGGAAUUCCUAGUGUAGCGGUGAAAUGCGUAGAUAUUAGGAGGAACACCAGUGGCGAAAGCGGCUUUCUGGACGACAACUGACGCUGAGGCGCGAAAGCCAGGGGAGCAAACGGGAUUAGAAACCCUGGUAGUCC
This 450-nucleotide ribosomal RNA is filed under the name uncultured bacterium. RNAcentral describes it as "partial 16S ribosomal RNA". It matches the Rfam family "Bacterial small subunit ribosomal RNA", at positions 354 to 796 of the family's 1533-position model. The record is from RNAcentral.